RNAcentral lists this transfer RNA (44 nucleotides) under Anolis nemonteae. Its description in RNAcentral is "partial tRNA-Tyr". Lineage: Eukaryota; Metazoa; Chordata; Lepidosauria; Squamata; Anolidae. The record is from RNAcentral.
UGAUAAAGAGGGGAGUCAAACCCCUGUUAAUAGGACUACAGCCU